GCUGAUGGAGAGACAGAAAGCACGCAACUGGAAAAAUUGAGACGUGGAAUUUGUGGAUUAAAUGGUCACCAAUUGUUUCAGCAUUGCGUAUUGAAUAAUACAACCUUCUUCCACUGCCGUGAAAUGUCAACAGCUGCUCUCCCACUAGAUAGGGCGUAGCUUUCCACAGACGUGAAAACAUCGCUGUGGUCCAUCUCUAUUUACUGCAAGUGGAAGGGUCAAGACAGGAAACAUAGAGGCUUUUAGUAGGAGGACCUGAGAUUGAAGUAGCCGCAGUGCAAGACGGAAAGAGGGCUUCGUGCACGGUGUGCAUUUGCCACCUAGUGACCACAUUGAGUUUAUUGCGCUCGAGUGAAAACUGUGAUUAAUAUUGGUGACAGCUGGAAAACCUUCGGACGUCC
Molecule: long non-coding RNA, 401 nt
Filed under: Rattus norvegicus (Norway rat)
Lineage: Eukaryota; Metazoa; Chordata; Mammalia; Rodentia; Muridae
Description: long non-coding RNA NONRATT030814
Source: RNAcentral